Long non-coding RNA from Pezoporus flaviventris, 1456 nucleotides. RefSeq lists it as uncharacterized. The transcript has 3 exons. The record is from RefSeq and is a predicted model, not a curated record. Lineage: Eukaryota; Metazoa; Chordata; Aves; Psittaciformes; Psittacidae.
GGAGAGGUGAAGGCUUGGUAGCAUUUCCACAGCACUUCUCCACUUCUCUCCCUAUUGUCAGCUCUGUGCCUGCUCUCCUGAGCGACCUGCCCCCAGUUUGAGACCUGUGUCUUCAGAGCAACCCCACAGAGGGAAGCACUGGCUUGGAAACCCCAGGCACAAGGGCAGAAUCACAGGGUGGCCUAGAGGAACCCUCAUGUUUCCCCAGCCAUGAGAAGUGUGCUGUGAGGCAGGGACAUCUAACCAAGACCUAUGGAUCAGGGCUCAGCCUUGGCAGGCACAGAAGGAGCUCCACUUGGCCUGGCUGUUCCUUCAUGCAGGCCGGUGGUGAAAAUGAGUUGCUUUGCACCAGUAGAUCUCCUGAAUAUGCAAUGAAGAAACCUGCAGCAGUCAGGAGCCCCAGCCAACAUGGAAGAUGAGACGGUGAGCUGGGAAACAAAGGUGAAUGAGAAAGGCAAUGGAAGCGAAGCAUUUCGUGCAAUAGCUAAAAUACAAAUCUCUGGAGACUUAAAGAUAUUGCAUGAACAUCAAUUUUGCAUGCCUAUUGUCUGAGUGGUAUUAGUGUGCGUAGGACUCGCAGCCCCCCUUCCUCUGAAUGAGGGGAGCGUCAUAGCAAAUCAGGAAAUAGCAUAAUUGAAUCAGCUCCAGCACGUGACAGGGCUUAAAAACCGCUUGGACGGGGCACUGAAAUGGCAACAUACCCCAAGCACCUUGGCAUCCAGCUUCCCCCACUGUCCCCAAAUUAAUUCUGAAAGGAAAGCAAGAUUUAAGCCGCAGCAGGAGACAGUCUAGUCAUGGAUUUCAGAUGAGUGGUCUCUUUCGACAUCUGUGAGACUUUAUGGCUCAGAAGCUGGAUGAAACAGCUUUCUGGAAACUUCUCUAGAGAAAAGGCAGCUAAAAAAAUGUGUGUCAUGCUUAUGCUGUUUACGGAGAGCUUGUUUUGUCCAUGGGAAUAAAAUAAAAUGCCAGUAGUUUACCACUGAGAUAACAUGUGAGAGUCAGAACAUGCUGCCACAGGUCUGAAAGAUACCGUUCCUACCACUCCCUCCCCUUUUGCCCCUACAUAAAAGUUGGCAAUUAGUUUUUACUGCACAUACAUGAAGGGAGAUACAUGUUUUGGCCUCUAUGUGAGAGCAAUAAUUCUCUUAAAUUGAUGUGUCAGCAAACUAAAACUCAAUAUUUUUUUCACACAGUGUAUUUUGCAGUCAGAGGACUUUCACUAAUCGGAGUAAAGCAAUUUGGCUCCCUGUCAUUGCUCACUGAAAACAUAUGAGCUGGUUGGCACGUUUGGCCUCCUAGAUUUAUCAGUGUCUCCCAUCUAGUGCAUGGGAGGUUCAGGGCUGCAGCUCAGACAGGAGUGAAUUUUUAUGAAUGCUUUUUCCCCUCCCUGAGAAUUCCCAGAGCGAGAUUUAUUCCUUAGUUUCAGAAAUAUUUUAUUUAUUGUCCAUAUCCCAUA